GAGAAGCAAAGCCGCGAGGUAGAGCAAAUCUCAAAAAAACAAUCUCAGUUCAGACUGCAGGCUGCAACUCGCCUGCACGAAGUCGGAAUUGCUAGUAAUCGUAGGUCAGCAUACUACGGUGAAUACGUUCCCGGGCCUUGUACACACCGCCCGUCAAACCAUGAGAGUUGGCAACACCCGAAGUCGGUAGUCUAACCGCAAGGAGGACGCCGCCGAAGGUGGGGUUGAUGAUUAGGGUUAAGUCGUAACAAGGUAUC
RNAcentral lists this ribosomal RNA (257 nucleotides) under uncultured bacterium. RNAcentral's name for it is "partial 16S ribosomal RNA". It matches the Rfam family "Bacterial small subunit ribosomal RNA", at positions 1244 to 1500 of the family's 1533-position model. The record is from RNAcentral.